Molecule: microRNA precursor, 58 nt
Organism: Gadus morhua (Atlantic cod)
Lineage: Eukaryota; Metazoa; Chordata; Actinopteri; Gadiformes; Gadidae
Source: Ensembl
GACUUGGUCGAAGCUCCUCAGGCUUACUUGAACCUCUGAGAUGUUUGGAACAAGUACA